This 652-nucleotide long non-coding RNA is filed under the name Gallus gallus (chicken). RNAcentral's name for it is "long non-coding RNA NONGGAT008739". Lineage: Eukaryota; Metazoa; Chordata; Aves; Galliformes; Phasianidae. The record is from RNAcentral.
UUCUUUUUUAACUUGAGCUUCUACUUGCCACCUUUUUGGGUUGGUGAGAAUGAUAAGAGUUAUUCCUACAACUACAUCUGAUUUCUUCUCAGUUAAGUGGUAAAACAUUAUUACAUUGGUAAGGCUCAUCAUAAAGGUAUUAUAAUCAAAUAGAAAUAUCAUUCUGUUUUCAUGCUCAAAGAAGUACCACCCAGGAAAGGAAAACUGGAAUAUGUACAAUCUUCAUUCUAAGAAAACCAGCUGAUUUAUCAGAUAUAAGUCUGAGAUUUAAAUGCAGAUGCUCCAGAGAAAGCCAAAACCCAUUUAAACUCAGGAAUCACAAGGAGUCUGUUCAGUCCUGUGCUCCACGUAGAAAUAAAAACUCUGGUUCAACUUCUUAUUCCCAGAAGAGACUCCCCAGUCAAAAGGCUCAAACAAAUCAACAGCCUCCUGAACCUGUCAACAGACUUUCUAAAAGGGACUUCUGUCUCAGGGUCCUGAAGUAACUGGCUGAUGUAGCUUCCAAGCCACUCUAUAUCAUAACUCACCAGUCAAGGCUGUCAGGCAACAUCCCUGUGAUUGCAAAAAGGGCAACAUGGCUCUCAUUUACAAGAAAGGGAGAAAGGAAGACCCAGGGAAAAACAGAUUCCUCCCCAUUUUCAGGCUGCAGUGG